Molecule: non-coding RNA, 26 nt
Filed under: Mus musculus (house mouse)
Lineage: Eukaryota; Metazoa; Chordata; Mammalia; Rodentia; Muridae
Source: RNAcentral
UAUUCGUCAUCUUUCAGAAUCAGGAC